CCUACGGGGAGGCAGUAGUGGGGAAUAUUGGACAAUGGGGGCAACCCUGAUCCAGCCAUGCCGCGUGUGUGAAGAAGGCCCUCGGGUUGUAAAGCACUUUCAGUGAGGAAGAACGCCUGGUGGUUAAUACCCAUCAGGAAAGACAUCACUCACAGAAGAAGCACCGGCUAACUCCGUGCCAGCAGCCGCGGUAAUACGGAGGGUGCGAGCGUUAAUCGGAAUUACUGGGCGUAAAGCGCGCGUAGGUGGCUUGAUAAGCCGGUUGUGAAAGCCCCGGGCUCAACCUGGGAACGGCAUCCGGAACUGUCAAGCUAGAGUGCAGGAGAGGAAGGUAGAAUUCCCGGUGUAGCGGUGAAAUGCGUAGAGAUCGGGAGGAAUACCAGUGGCGAAGGCGGCCUUCUGGACUGACACUGACACUGAGGUGCGAAAGCGUGGGUAGCAAACAGGAUUAGAUACCCUGGUAGUC
This 466-nucleotide ribosomal RNA is filed under the name Vreelandella stevensii. RNAcentral's name for it is "partial 16S ribosomal RNA". It matches the Rfam family "Bacterial small subunit ribosomal RNA", at positions 338 to 795 of the family's 1533-position model. Lineage: Bacteria; Pseudomonadati; Pseudomonadota; Gammaproteobacteria; Oceanospirillales; Halomonadaceae. The record is from RNAcentral.